Molecule: ribosomal RNA, 705 nt
Filed under: Taphrina deformans (peach leaf curl fungus)
Lineage: Eukaryota; Fungi; Ascomycota; Taphrinomycetes; Taphrinales; Taphrinaceae
Description: SSU rRNA
Rfam family: Eukaryotic small subunit ribosomal RNA
Source: RNAcentral
UGGCAAUAGGACGUGCAUGGUUCUAUUUUGUUGCGUUUCUAGGACCGCCGUAAUGAUAUCAUAGAGGACAGUUGAGGGACAUUAGUAUUGAGUUGUCAGAGGUGAAAUUCUUGGAUUUACUCAAGACUAACUACUGCGAAAGCAUUUGUCAAGGAUGUUUUCAUUAGUCAAGAACGAAAGUUAGGGGAUCGAAGACGAUCAGAUACCGUCGUAGUCUUAACCAUAAACUAUGCCGACUAGGGAUCGGGCGAUGUUCUUUUCUUGACUCGCCCGGCACCUUAUGAGAAAUCAAAGUUUUUGGGUUCCGGGGGGAGUAUGGUCGCAAGGCUGAAACUUAAAGAAAUUGACGGAAGGGCACCACCAGGAGUGGAGCCUGCGGCUUAAUUUGACUCAACACGGGGAAACUCACCAGGUCCAGACAAAGUAAGGAUUGACAGAUUGAUAGCUCUUUCUUGAUUCUUUGGGUGGUGGUGCAUGGCCGUUCUUAGUUGGUGGAGUGAUUUGUCUGCUUAAUUGCGAUAACGAACGAGACCUUAACCUGCUAAAUAGCCCGACUAGCUUUUGCUGGUCGCUGGCUUCUUAGAGGGACUAUUGGCAUAAAGCCAAUGGAAGUUUGAGGCAAUAACAGGUCUGUGAUGCCCUUAGAUGUUGUGGUCCGCACGCGCGCUACACUGUCGGAGCCAGCGAGUUCCUUUCCUUGGCCCU